Long non-coding RNA from Gymnodraco acuticeps, 1805 nucleotides. RefSeq lists it as uncharacterized. The transcript has 2 exons. The record is from RefSeq and is a predicted model, not a curated record. NCBI's taxonomy places the organism in Eukaryota, Metazoa, Chordata, Actinopteri, Perciformes, Bathydraconidae.
GUUGCGAGCCAUAUCGGAGCUGUCAGAUGUUGCGCACAGCCUGCAGUCUACUGUCAGACUACCCAGACGAACCCAGCAGACAAACAGCUCGGAAGAUUAACCUAUUUGAGCCUCGAGAUUAGAGAAACUAGUUUUCGUCUUCAGACCCGGACGCCUGCUUUUAAUUACAAGAUAUUUUCUUUUUGUCACAUGGCUUUGGAUAAUUCAAAACAACAAAAAAUGGCGACACUCACGUUGCACUGUGUGGUCUUGCUGCGUCAUAAAACAUAUUCAUGUAAACACGAGGAGUUAAACGGGAAAAUGUCAGGGCCCUGAGCAGCGGGGAUAAUGGAGUUGUUUACAUGAAGUGAGGAGGGCGGACUGGCGAGGAGGAGGAGACGCUACGUCGGCCAGAGACGCCACCGGACUGCACGAGAGGCUGCUCGUGCGGAGGGGGGCGGAGCCUGUGAGGGGAAUCAUAACAAGUCUGACGUCACUCGGCCUUGUGGUUGGUAUGAAUAAUAUACUGUAGUUUGUCUCGAUCCAGUCUUAGCAGGAAAGAGGCUCAGAAAAAAAGUAUUCGUACCCCUAGUUAUUGUAUGAGAUGAAACAUUAACGAGCCCUCUGUGUACCAAAAAAAAGAAUGAAAAUAUGUUCACUUGGAAAUAGUUUGCGAAAUAAUUUAACACGAUAGCAUGCUUAAUACUGUAAAGCAAUCUUUGUCCUCCAAAUGUGCAAGUAUUGUAUAUUUUGUUUAAAUCACAGGUUCACAGCCAAUAGGCCAUAGGGUAGGCUACACAUUGCAUGUGUCUAUUCAUAACUGCCCAACCUUUGCAGUUAGAAGUUUCAUCAUAAUGAACAUCAGAGUCUGUUUUUGAAGUACCAAAUGAAUUGUUGUGCUAAAAGAACAUUUACCACAAUAGACCAAAUACUUGUGUAAAAUACAACCUCAUGUAUCAGGCCUGAUUUAAGGGCAAAAAAUAGCUUUUUCCAUUCACUUGAAUGACUCACUGAUUAACCAAUAUCUCUGUUCAUAAAUAAAGGAAUCCUGGAUAAUCAGGAUCAUUAUUAUCCUGCAUAAAGACUGUUUUUUAAUGUUCCCAUUAUCAAACUAUGGAGAGUAGUUGUUGUAUGUUUUUUACUCUACUUUGAAAAACAUUUUUAUAGUGGUAUUAUUAUAUCCCCAAACAUGAUAUUGCAUUUUUUUUUAAUAUUCUGUGCUGCUGAUCACUGAUGGGAAGGAUAUUAAUAAAAACGUUUUUACACACAUAGAAGGAUUGUUAGGUUAGAUGUCCCUGUGACUCUGUAGACUAAUCUGUUCUUAUAUUAGCUAUUGUAUAUUAACUGAACAGCAUUUAUAUUGUAAGAAUUACAUGAUGAAGAUACAACAUGCGAGGAAACCAAGGACUGCUAGAAUAGUCAGGCUUCCCUGGUUCAGUUAUCACAGUGCUGAUGCUGUCCCCAUCAAAGGUACAGUACUGUGAUAACUGAAGGAUGGCUGCCAACUUGACACGAGUGCAGUUAUUCAAACCGCGUGCAGCUAACCAGCCAGAGGACCAAUGACCAAUGAAGUGUGAGUAUGUUAAUAAAGAGACAUAUUUGUUUUCAUUGUUAAGUAUCCAAAAGUACUAAUGUGAUUUAUUCAAAUUAUGUUUUUCCUUAUUAAAUCUGCCAGUAGACUGUUGCAUGCUUAAAAAAGUAUUUUAUUGUCUUAUUUUUAAGUUUAAGAAGCAUUAUACUCAAAACCUAUAAAUGUAUAUUAUCUUCACUUUUUAUGUAACUUUUGCUCAACUCAAAUAAAUAAAUAAAUGUUUGUUUUCAUUAAA